Molecule: unclassified non-coding RNA, 215 nt
Filed under: Scytalidium sp.
Lineage: Eukaryota; Fungi; Ascomycota; Leotiomycetes
Also listed under: 2 other names
Description: partial contains 5.8S ribosomal RNA, internal transcribed spacer 2, and large subunit ribosomal RNA
Source: RNAcentral
AACGCACAUUGCGCCUCCCAUCAUCGGGAGGCAUGCCUGUCUGAGCGUCAUUUAAACCAUAGCUCCCAUCUGGGACUGUACUGGGCAUCGCCGACGGCGUAGCCUCAAAGACAUUGGUCUAAUCAAGCGGACGAGUUCCUUUAGGACGGACCGUUGGGUUGACCUUAAACCUCUGACUUGACCUCAGAUCAGGUAGGGCUACCGCCUGAACUUAA